AACGGUCUAUACCUGCGGUACCUGCGGAGGGAUCAUUAACGUGCCCCUGGGGCGCCCCCGGUCCCUGGAACUCCAGGGCCGGUUAGGCGCUUUCUUUGGCCCAUCCGUGUCUACUUUACCUGCUGCUUCGGCGGGCACCCGGGGCUGCCACGUUGCGCCCCGGGCCUUGAGCCCGCCGAGGACCCCCUGAAAACCCCUGGUGAACGUUGGCGGUCUGAGUGGGCUGGAUAAUCGUCAAAA
This 240-nucleotide unclassified non-coding RNA is filed under the name soil metagenome. Its description in RNAcentral is "partial contains 5.8S ribosomal RNA, internal transcribed spacer 2, and large subunit ribosomal RNA". The record is from RNAcentral.